GGCGGCGUAGCUCAGCCUGGUUAGAGCGCUAGACUCAUAAUUUAGAGGUCGAGGGUUCGAAUCCCCCCGCCGCCA
RNAcentral lists this transfer RNA (75 nucleotides) under Microcaldota archaeon. Its description in RNAcentral is "tRNA-Met". It matches the Rfam family "tRNA". From Rfam's summary of the family: Transfer RNA (tRNA) molecules are approximately 80 nucleotides in length. Their secondary structure includes four short double-helical elements and three loops (D, anti-codon, and T loops). The record is from RNAcentral. Lineage: Archaea; Nanobdellati; Microcaldota.